GCCCACCGAAGCUUAUUCUUCGGAGAACUACAACGCCGAUGAGCCACCAUAGUCCUGUUUGUUUUCAAAAAUCGGACCCCCUCAUCCUGUCGCAUCUUUCUGACAUCUUCUUGGCCCCUAGGUUUCGUCGGAGCCGCCAUACGAACGAUGUCCGAACCACCGGAGCACCGGAGCUCAACCACUUCGCCGCUUUCCCUCCGGUCGUUGCUGCCGACCGCCGUCACCACCACCCGAAGGCCCUUGCCGAGCCGCACCUUCCCCGCCUCUCCGACGCCGCCGG
RNAcentral lists this long non-coding RNA (280 nucleotides) under Hordeum vulgare. RNAcentral's name for it is "long non-coding RNA (HVUL_LNC006783)". The record is from RNAcentral. Lineage: Eukaryota; Viridiplantae; Streptophyta; Magnoliopsida; Poales; Poaceae.